This 80-nucleotide transfer RNA is filed under the name Pilea dolichocarpa. Its description in RNAcentral is "tRNA-Pro". It matches the Rfam family "tRNA". Rfam says of the family: Transfer RNA (tRNA) molecules are approximately 80 nucleotides in length. Their secondary structure includes four short double-helical elements and three loops (D, anti-codon, and T loops). Lineage: Eukaryota; Viridiplantae; Streptophyta; Magnoliopsida; Rosales; Urticaceae. The record is from RNAcentral.
AUUGAAAGGGAUGUAGCGCAGCUCGGUAGCGCAUUUGUUUUGGGUACAAAAUGUCACGGGUUCAAAUCCUGUCAUCCCUA